GACGAACGCUGGCGGCGUGCUUAACACAUGCAAGUCGAACGGAAAGGCCCUGCUUUUGUGGGGUGCUCGAGUGGCGAACGGGUGAGUAACACGUGAGUAACCUGCCCUUGACAUUGGGAUAACUCCAGGAAACUGGGGCGAAUACCGGAUAGGAGCUCCUGCUGCAUGGUGGGGGUUGGAGAGUUUCGGCGGUUUGGGAUGGACUCGCGGCUUAUCAGCUUGUUGGUGGGGUAGUGGCGUACCAAGGCUUUGACGGGUAGCCGGCCUGGGAGGGUGACCGGCCACCUUGGGCCUGAGAGACGGCCCAGACUCCUACGGGAGGCAGCAGUGGGGAAUCUUGCACAAUGGGCGGAAGCCUGAUGCAGCAACGCCGCGUGCGGGAUGACGGCCUUCGGGUUGUAAACCGCUUUCGCCUGUGACGAAGCGUGCGUGACGGUAAUGGGUAAAGAAGCACCGGCUAACUACGUG
This 468-nucleotide ribosomal RNA is filed under the name uncultured bacterium. Its description in RNAcentral is "partial 16S ribosomal RNA". It matches the Rfam family "Bacterial small subunit ribosomal RNA", at positions 28 to 507 of the family's 1533-position model. The record is from RNAcentral.